GCACUAGUAGCUCAGCGCCAGAGCGCCGGUCUUGUAAACCGGACGUCGAAGAUUAAAGCCCUUCCUACCGCU
RNAcentral lists this transfer RNA (72 nucleotides) under Genyochromis mento. RNAcentral describes it as "tRNA-Thr". It matches the Rfam family "tRNA". From Rfam's summary of the family: Transfer RNA (tRNA) molecules are approximately 80 nucleotides in length. Their secondary structure includes four short double-helical elements and three loops (D, anti-codon, and T loops). Further hydrogen bonds mediate the characteristic L-shaped molecular structure. tRNAs have two regions of fundamental functional importance: the anti-codon, which is responsible for specific mRNA codon recognition, and the 3' end, to which the tRNAs corresponding amino acid is attached (by aminoacyl-tRNA synthetases). tRNAs cope with the degeneracy of the genetic code in two manners: having more than one tRNA (with a specific anti-codon) for a particular amino acid; and 'wobble' base-pairing, i.e. permitting non-standard base-pairing at the 3rd anti-codon position. The record is from RNAcentral. Lineage: Eukaryota; Metazoa; Chordata; Actinopteri; Cichliformes; Cichlidae.